This 433-nucleotide ribosomal RNA is filed under the name uncultured bacterium. Its description in RNAcentral is "bacterial SSU rRNA". It matches the Rfam family "Bacterial small subunit ribosomal RNA", at positions 28 to 450 of the family's 1533-position model. The record is from RNAcentral.
GAUAAACGCUGGCGGUGUACAUAAAACAUGCAAGUCGAACGGGAGAAGACAGGAAGAUUUAUCUACUUGUUGGACACCGUGGCGGACGGGUGAGUAACACGUAAGCAACCUGCCUAUAAGAGGGGAAUAACAGUGAGAAAUUACUGAUAAUACCGCAUAAGCUGGAGGUAUCGCAUGAUACAUUCAGAAAAGAUUUAUCGCUUAUAGAUGGGCUUGCGUCUGAUUAGCUAGUUGGUGAGAUAACAGCUCACCAAGGCGACGAUCAGUAGCCGGAUUGAGAGGUUGAACGGCCACAUUGGGACUGAGACACGGCCCAGACUCCUACGGGAGGCAGCAGUCGGGAAUAUUGCACAAUGGAGGAAACUCUGAUGCAGUGACACCGCGUAUAGGAAGAAGGUCUUAGGAUUGUAAGCUAUUGUCGNGNGAGAAGAAA